Phrynosoma platyrhinos (Desert horned lizard) is the source of this 72-nucleotide non-coding RNA. The record is from the annotation of a GenBank genome assembly. NCBI's taxonomy places the organism in Eukaryota, Metazoa, Chordata, Lepidosauria, Squamata, Phrynosomatidae.
GCCAAUGUGGUGUAGUGGUUUUAGCAUUGGACUAGGACUCUGAAGAACAGGGUUCAAAUCCCCACUCAGUCA